Molecule: long non-coding RNA, 1354 nt
Organism: Corvus hawaiiensis (hawaiian crow)
Lineage: Eukaryota; Metazoa; Chordata; Aves; Passeriformes; Corvidae
Exons: 2
Source: RefSeq, a predicted model, not a curated record
AACUUCCAGUCACCUUCGUUUUGAGUUCAACCAGAAAAGCACCAGAUACUCUGCAUUACUGCACUGUCAUUUUUCAGCUGGAGACCUGGCCCAGGGGCUGCUCCCUCACAGCACAGCCCAGCACAGUAUAGUUUCAUACUUUUUAGCUCACAGCCCUUGCAUGAAAAGUCUCACCAAUAUUUACUCAUCCUCUUAAGGGUUGCAUGGCCAAGCCCUAGAACACAUUCCUAAAUGCUACGGAAAAAUUAUGACACAAAGGAAGUAAUGUUUUUUACCUUAGUACUUAAAAAAAAGUACAAAGCCACGUUGUCUGGAACAUGAAAAAAAACCUUUGCUGUGGUGAGGAAUGAGGGAAUACACUGAACUGGAAAAUCCUGUAGUUCACAAGGGUUGGGCUGGCCAACUUAAUAAUUGCUUUUUUCCUUCCAUCUCUAAUGAGAACUGGAGCAUUCACAGACGUAGGUAUUAACAAUACCUCAACAUAGUGUCUAACUCUGUGAAGCAGAGAUAUAAAAAUAAGGGGUUUGGGCGUCUGUCUGCAUUGUGCUUUGCAAAAUUACUUUGAGUACCUGAAGGUGUUCAAAACACCAGAAGAAAAAAGGUAGUUUGAACAUGUCCAUCCUCAGGUGGUGCAUUGGUGUUCACACUGGGCCAGUCUCCUCAACUCCAGUCACUCCAGAAUGCAGCAGGAAGGAGAUCGAAUGGCACAACUGACAGGAGUCUCCCAAACUUUUUCAGAAUCUUGAAAGCCUCUCCUGCAUCUGACACUGCAUGGCUGAGAAUUCUGAACGCAGUGAUUAUUCAUCUCUCAUUAUCAACAAAAGCCUUUGGAUUCCAGAAUUUCAGUGAUCAGCAACUGAGGACUGAAGGGCACUGCUAUGGUGACAUCUCAUUAAAACUUUGAAAAGACCUUCUCAGAGUUCAGAUAAUGUGGAAGCUUGAUUUGUCCAUGCAGAUGGACACAUGCCAGCACCCCAAACUGCUUACAAAGAAAAUCCCUCAUAAGAAUUCUCAAAGAGCAGCAAAAUAUGCUGACGUGGAAGGACACUGCAUGCAUAAGGUGGACAAUAACAUGGGCAGUUUUAUUUGAAGCUUUUUAUAAACCAUGGUUUCAAAAAAUAUUCAUACAUACAUAUGUAAAAGCAAAGGAAUGUCUUAAUGAGUAGGUUAUAUUGCAUCAAGUCAGACAAAAGUUAAAUAAUGCAAAAAUUAAGAUUGCCUGUGAAACCUAAUUUGGUACCUCAUGUGUUUAAUACUGGUGGCAGCCAGCCCCCAAAGCCUUUGUGUUCCCUUCUUGCAAUUUUAUCUCAUUCACUAAACAAAGGAACAAAUAAACUUUAAUUAAAUUCCUGCA